ACAGCAGUCGCCGCGGUAAUACGUAGGUGGCAAGCGUUGUCCGGAAUUAUUGGGCGUAAAGGGCUCGCAGGCGGUUUCUUAAGUCUGAUGUGAAAGCCCCCGGCUCAACCGGGGAGGGUCAUUGGAAACUGGGAAACUUGAGUGCAGAAGAGGAGAGUGGAAUUCCACGUGUAGCGGUGAAAUGCGUAGAGAUGUGGAGGAACACCAGUGGCGAAGGCGACUCUCUGGUCUGUAACUGACGCUGAGGAGCGAAAGCGUGGGGAGCGAACAGGAUUAGAUACCCCUGUAGUCCCUGUCUCUUAUAC
This 305-nucleotide ribosomal RNA is filed under the name uncultured bacterium. RNAcentral's name for it is "partial 16S ribosomal RNA". It matches the Rfam family "Bacterial small subunit ribosomal RNA", at positions 508 to 807 of the family's 1533-position model. The record is from RNAcentral.